RNAcentral lists this unclassified non-coding RNA (357 nucleotides) under uncultured fungus. RNAcentral describes it as "partial contains 5.8S ribosomal RNA and internal transcribed spacer 2". The stretch from base 1 to 133 matches the Rfam family "5.8S ribosomal RNA", at positions 22 to 154 of the family's 154-position model. Lineage: Eukaryota; Fungi. The record is from RNAcentral.
UGGCUCUCGCAUCGAUGAAGAACGCAGCGAAUUGCGAUACGUAAUGUGAAUUGCAGAAUUCAGUGAAUCAUCGAAUCUUUGAACGCACCUUGCGCCACGUGGUAUUCCACGAGGCACACCUGUUUGAGCGUCACGUUAACCAUCGCGUCGUGGAUGUAACAGUCUGCGGGGCGGAUUUGGGUGUUGCCGUCGUUGGCUCGCCUCGAAAUGCAUUAGCUGUCUAAAGACACGCGCCGCUGGUGUGAUAAUUUACUUUUUGCGCCUAAUGGUGUUGUGACUGGUGAAGGCUUAUAACCGCCCGUGAGGGCAACUAUAACUUUGCGCUUUGACCUCAAAUCAGGUGGGACUACCCGCUGA